GAUCCUGGCUCAGGAUGAACGCUGGCGGCGUGCUUAACACAUGCAAGUCGAGCGAAGCAAUCUAAGUGAAGUUUUUCGGAUGGAUCUUAAAUUGACUGAGCGGCGGACGGGUGAGUAACGCGUGGAUAACCUGCCUCGACACAGGGGGAUAACAGUUAGAAAUGACUGCUAAUACCGCAUAAGCGCACAGUACCGCAUGGUACAGUGUGAAAAACUCCGGUGGUGUGAGAUGG
This 233-nucleotide ribosomal RNA is filed under the name uncultured bacterium. RNAcentral's name for it is "partial 16S ribosomal RNA". It matches the Rfam family "Bacterial small subunit ribosomal RNA", at positions 15 to 228 of the family's 1533-position model. The record is from RNAcentral.